UAGUUAAAUAAAGGUAAAAAAGAAAAAUAAAUAGACUUUCACAUUGUAGGUCUGUUGUUAAAACAAUAUAAUCAUAAUAUGUGCCAUUUAGCAGAUGCUUUCAUUCAAAGCGACUUAGUAAUUUGCACAAACAUUUUACGUAUGGGUUGCCCAACGCAUCAUUGCUCCAACGCAUCAUUUACUAAACAAAAUCCCGCAAACGUGAGAGCGCCAGAAAUAAACAUCGCGAGAUUGUAAAUAUGUGUGAGAGUCAGAUUUGAAAGCAGACGUUUUCAUCCAAAACGAUUUACAGUAAUGCGUACAUACAUUUUACCUAUGUAAAAUGAGACUUUUUCAAAGGUUUUUCCGAUGCAAUUUUUUUACGUCUUUCUUUAUAAUACUGUAUGUAUUCAAUAAUUUCGAAUGGAUCACUUCCCAAUGGGCACAUACAUCAAUUCAAUUUUUAUUUCACGUUGGUUCAACGUAAUUUCAUUGAAAUUACAUGGAAACAACAUUGAUGCCCAGUGGGUUUAUUGUGUCACAGUGAAUUUUAUAAUCUGCAGUCAAUUUCAUUAUGUUUUCAUGUGCCAUGAUUCUGACAUUUGACACAUGAUCAUCAUAGGAUUAGGCUAGAUAGUUUCAGUGGGGCAGUACAUGUAAUCUCAAUACAAUACGAUGUGCAUAUAAUGUACAUAUAGCCAAUAUAGCUAUUAAACCCAUGUUCAGUGAAUGCAAUCUGUGACGCAAGUGGCCGAAUAUGUUUGUGACGUUCCAUGGAACCCACCGUAUUGUUUAAAACUCGAUUCUGAUUGGCUUGCAGGUCAUUCUACAGUGUAAAUUAUAAAUGAAAACGUGCUUUUAUAUCAGUGUGACAGAUUCACAAUACCGAGCGUGUCUCAAACCGUCCCGCGCUUUUAUCUGCCUAAAGGUAUCUUCACGCACGACUGGAUAGGCCUUUUAGAUACGCUUGUCCAAGGCCCAAGACAUAAAGUUGCCUGAAAGCUGUGUAGCAAUAAUUCCUGCUCCUGACCCAUAGGAUGGUAAUCACAUACAUGAUUGGCUUAAUCAAGAAUCAUGGAUACCUUUCAUACCUCAUCACAAGUUGGAACUAGUGGUCAACAUUGGGACAAUGCAGCCCAAAAUAACAGGGCUGAAUAUUUUCAUGGAGUGAGCAAGACCUGCCAGCAGAGCUCACUGGAGCAGGGAGACAUCCCGUCAUCCUUUUGGCGCCUGACAAAGUACACUUUUUUUCUUCUAAAUAACACUAUAGUAACAUCUUCUGCACAAAGUUACAUUCCUAAUAAGAUUGGUGUUAAGUGGGAAAGAAUCCUAAAGAUGGUCCAAUGGGCAUGGUCUGAAGCCUCUCGUCAUCUCAGUAUGUUGAACCACCUGAUUUCCUGCAGGCUUGAGAUUCAGAUCCUGCUGAACGAUGUUAAGCAGUCGAUUAACCACAUGCAGGGGACGCUGAACACCAUGCAGGGGCAGUGUAUUGAGUUGCAGACUGCCAUAUCUAAGGUAGUGUCAGAUGAGUCUCAGAUACAGAAGAAUAAGUCUAUGAUGGUAUGGUGAUAAUGAUUGAGAUGGUGAUUAUAAUAAUAACGACUAGCUUUACCCCACCCUACAGGCGGUAAAUCAUUGGAUCUGAUUAAUU
This is a non-coding RNA of Oncorhynchus mykiss (rainbow trout), 1630 nucleotides long. Lineage: Eukaryota; Metazoa; Chordata; Actinopteri; Salmoniformes; Salmonidae. The record is from RefSeq and is a predicted model, not a curated record.